AGAGUUUGAUUCUGGCUCAGGAUGAACGCUGGCGGCAUGCUUGACACAUGCAAGUUGAACGAAGAUUAGAAUCUUUUAGAUUAUAAUACUUAGUAGCGGACGGGUGAGUAACGCGUAAGAAUCUACCUUUAGGAAAAAGAUAACAAUUGGAAACGAUUGCUAAUAUUUUAUAUGCUGAGAAGUUAAAAGGAUUUCCGCCUAAGGAUGAGCUUGCGUCUGAUUAGCUAGUUGGUUAGGUAAAGGCUUACCAAGGCAAUUAUCAGUAGUUGGUCUGAUAGGAUGAUCAGCCACACUGGGACUGAGAGACGGCCCAGACUCCUACGGGAGGCAGCAGUGAGGAAUUUUUCGCAAUGGGCGCAAGCCUGACGAAGCAAUGCCGCGUGAAGGAUGAAGGCCUGCGGGUUGUAAACUUCUUUUAUUAGAGAAGAUUAUGACGGUAUCUAAUGAAUAAGCAUCGGCUAAAUAUGUGCCAGCAGCCGCGGUAAUACAUAUGAUGCAAGCGUUAUCCGGAAUGAUUGGGCGUAAAGCGUCUGUAGGUGGUUUAAAAAGUCAAUUGUCAAAGACUAAGGCUUAACCUUAGAUAGGCAGUUGAAACUUUUAGACUAGAGUAUGGCAGAGGUAGAGGGAAUUACUGGUGUAACGGUGAAAUGUGCAGAUAUCAGUAAGAACACCAAUGGCGAAAGCACUCUACUGGACCAAAACUGACACUCAGAGACGAAAGCUAAGGGAGCGAAUAGGAUUAGAUACCCUAGUAGUCUUAGCUGUAAACGAUGGAAACUAAAUAUUGCGUUUUAUAUGCAGUAUUGUAGCUAACGCGUUAAGUUUCCCGCCUGGGGAGUAUGCUCGCAAGGGUGAAACUCAAAGAAAUUGACGGGGGCCCGCACAAGCGGUGGGGCAUGUGGUUUAAUUCGAUACAACGCGAAGAACCUUACCGGGGUUUGACAUACUAUAAAUUUUUGGAAACAAAAAGUUAAAAAUAUAGAUACAGGUGGUGCAUGGCUGUCGUCAGCUCGUGACGUGAGACGUAGGGUUAAGUCCUGUAACGAGCGCAACCCUUAUCGUUAGUUGCUAUAAGGAAACUAGCGAGACUGCCAGUGAUAAGCUGGAGGAAGGUGAGAAUGACGUCAAGUCAGCAUGCCCCUUAAAUCCCGGGCUACACACGUGCUACAAUGGUUAAGACAAAGAGAUGCUAACUUGUGAAAGAACAGCAAACCUCAAAAACUUAAUCUCAGUUCGGAUUGUAGGCUGCAACUCGCCUACAUGAAGCUGGAAUCGCUAGUAAUCGCAGGUCAGCUAUACUGCGGUGAAUACGUUCCCGGGCCUUGUACACACCGCCCGUCACACCAUCGAAGCUGACUAGGCCCGAAGCCGUUGUAAACGUUUAAGGCACAGUUAGUAACGAGGGUGAAGUCGUAACAAGGUA
Molecule: ribosomal RNA, 1423 nt
Filed under: metagenome
Description: bacterial SSU rRNA
Rfam family: Bacterial small subunit ribosomal RNA
Source: RNAcentral